CGGUAAUACGGAGGAUCCAAGCGUUAUCCGGAUUUAUUGGGUUUAAAGGGUGCGUAGGCGGAUUUUUAAGUCAGUGGUGAAAGUUUGUAGCUCAACUAUAAAAUUGCCAUUGAAACUGAAGAUCUUGAGUGUAAAUGAGGUAGGCGGAAUGUGUUGUGUAGCGGUGAAAUGCUUAGAUAUAACACAGGACACCAAUUGCGAAGGCAGCUUACUGGGAUACAACUGACGCUGAGGCACGAAAGCGUGGGGAUCAAACAGGAUUAGAUACCCUGGUAGUCCACGCAGUAAACGAUGAAUACUAGCUGUAUGCGAUAUACUGUAUGUGGCAAAGCGAAAGCGUUAAGUAUUCCACCUGGGGAGUACGUUCGCAAGAAUGAA
This 378-nucleotide ribosomal RNA is filed under the name uncultured bacterium. RNAcentral's name for it is "bacterial SSU rRNA". It matches the Rfam family "Bacterial small subunit ribosomal RNA", at positions 518 to 898 of the family's 1533-position model. The record is from RNAcentral.